RNAcentral lists this long non-coding RNA (4997 nucleotides) under Medicago truncatula (barrel medic). RNAcentral's name for it is "long non-coding RNA (MTRU_LNC004444)". The stretch from base 2695 to 2767 matches the Rfam family "MIR2629 microRNA precursor family". The record is from RNAcentral. Lineage: Eukaryota; Viridiplantae; Streptophyta; Magnoliopsida; Fabales; Fabaceae.
CCAUGAAUCUCUUUAAAAAAAUGCAUUGCAAAAACAUUAUUCCUAAUGUGGUGACUUACACUUCUCUUAUUGAUGGUUUGUGUAAAUCGGGGAAAAUCUCUUAUGCUUUGAAGCUAGUCGAUGAGAUGCAUGAUAGAGGUGUACCACCUGAUAUAAUUACUUACAGUUCUAUAUUGGAUGCUUUAUGCAAAAACCAUCAGGUUGACAAGGCAAUUGCAUUAUUAACAAAAUUGAAAGACCAAGGUAUUCGACCAACUAUGCACACAUACACUAUUCUUAUUGAUUGAUUGUGUAAAAGUGGAAAACUGGAGGAUGCACGUAAAGUUUUUGAAGAUCUUUUCGUCAAAGGCUACAAUCUUGAUGUCUAUGCAUAUACCGUUAUGAUCCAAGGGUUUUGUGUCAAGGGCUUGUUUAAUGAAGCGUUGGCCUUGCUGUCAAAAAUGGAAGACAAUGGCCGCAUUCCAGAUGCUAAAACUUAUGAAAUAAUUAUCCUUUCUCUGUUCAAAAAAGAUGAAAAUGAUAUGGCAGAGAAACUUCUUCGUGAAAUGAUCGCGAGAGGUCUACUGUAAAACUGAAAUAUGUAAGAUAACAAUAAUUGAUAAAUAAUGGAAUUACACACGUGACACACAUUAAUUGAUAAAUAACAGACACAUCAGCACUAAAUGUCAUGGGAAUCAUAAAAUCAGAAAGGGCGAAAACUAUAGGGGGGAAAAUCGCUCGUUUUAAACUAUGGGGUGCAAAAUCGCACAAUUGGCAAACUAUAGGGGGGAAAGAGCAAUUAAGCCUUUUUUUUAAACGUUUUUCUAUCAUGUGCAAACUUGCACAUGUUAAAAAGUUUAAAAUUGUAAUAUUGUAUCGGAACUAAUGCAUUUCAUAUUAAAUAUAUAAUUUUUAAUAAAUAAUUUUUUCUUUUUUCAAUGUAAAGUUAUUACUUGUAGUUCCUUUAACAUGUGCAAUAUUGCUUAAACAACCCCUUUUUUUAAUAUAGGGUAACACAUGACACAUUGUGAUGGAUCAAUCUUACAGGACAUCGCGAUGUCAUCGAGGAGAAUUGUUGUUCCCACAUUAAAUAAGGCUGUGGCACACGAGUAAUUUACUUUUUUGCCCCCUCGGCAGUUAACUGCCGAGGAAUUAGAAAUCCGGCUGCAGUUAACUACUGAGGUUUAACUGUCGAGGAUCUUCUGCUACAAAUCUGGCGGAAGCUCUCUCAUCCAUUAUUCAUCUCAUCUUCUUCAAAUUUCUCUCACAAAUCUCUCUAAAAAACACAACCAAAUCCAACCAAAUUUAUUCAACAAAAUCACAAGUAAGUAAUUAUAAUGCUAUUAACUUACAUUUUAGUUGUUAUAAAUGUUUUUAUUUUUUAGUUUUUGACUAGAUUUACAUGUUAUAAAUAAUUUUUAGUGUGGAUGUUAGUUGAUUAAUGUUGUUAAAAAUAUUUGCAUGCAUGAUGUUUAUGUUAUAAAUUAGAAUUUUAGGGUUAUUUAUUAUUUUGUUGUUUUAUAUUUAUUUUUUUUUAUUUUAGUUUUUAAUUAGAUAUACAUGUUAUAAAUCAUUUUUAGAUUAGAUGUUAGUUAAUUAAUGUUAUAUUAUAUGAUUAAACAUAAGUUGAAUGAUUUAUAUUAUAUUAUAUGAUUAAUUUUUUUAUUUUAGUAAGAGUAUAUGAUUUAUAAUUUUAGGGUUAUUUUUAUGAAUUUUAGAGUCUAUGUAUAAUGUGCACAUCAAGUGUUUGAUGAAAUGUUUGAAUGAGUUUUUUCAUUGAUUGUUUUUAAUUUCUUAUUGUGUAGAUUUGAAACAAUGGCCGGGUGGAUCGACGUUCAUGCGCAAUUCAACGGCGGAGAACCUCAGAGGUUGAAGGUUCGGUGUGUAACGCUAAGAGGUCUCAAGGAUGAACUGACUGAAUUCAACCAAGGAGUCAACCCCAGAGACACAAGGAGGGUGGAACACCUUCGGUAUAAACGUCCAACGCUCGACGAGGGGAGAGUUUCAUUCACUUGGGUGGAAUUAACAAACGACGAAAACGUGAAGAGCAUGUUUUGGGAGCACAGCAUGUUCCAGUGGAUCGAUAUGCGGGUGAUGUUGCUGAGAUCAACUGAAGAUAUGAUCAACAACUUGAUUCCGCCAGCAGAUCGUCAUUAGUUAGGGUAAGGUGCAUUCCAACUGCAACAAUUUUCUUAUCGUUGAAUGAGAUAAAUUCAAACCUGCCAAACAACAUGACUCAAGCAUUUCGCUCGGCAUUCAUGUUUUUCCUUUGAAAAGAUUAAAUUUUUGUUAGGCUGGUUUAGAUGAAGGUAUUAAGUGUCAAGGAAUGAACCUCAUCAAAACCUAAGCUAUCAUAACAUAUCAUAAAAUCUAAACCUAAACCUAACAAUUCUACAACGAUUCAUCAAAACCUAAACCUAACAAUUCAAUAAAAGUUCUCUAACAAUUCUAACCUAAACUAUAAUAACAUAUCAUAAAAUCAUAAAAUCAAUAAAAUCUAUAUAAUUGAAAUUUAACAAAAAAAAAAAAAAAAAUUCAACCGCAAAACAACAAUGCAAUAGAAUUAAAAAAACUUACUUGUUUUUGUGAUUGAAAUUGGUUUGGAAUGACUUGAAAUAGCUCAAAAUCGCACUUCGGAGAUCAAAAAACGUAACAAUGGAGUUUUGGAAACUCCUAUGUCUGUUUUGUUCUUAUAACAUUUCCUCGGCAGUUAACUACCGAGGUUUUCCUCAGCAGUUAACUGCAGCCGGAUUUCUAAAACUUCGACAGUUAACUGCCGAAGGGGCAAAAACGUCAAUUACUUGUGUGCCACAGCCUUAUGCAACGUGGGAACAACAAUUCUCGUCAUCGAGUGUUGUCCUAAGGGGGGUGUAUUGGAUCAUGAUUCUAAGAGAUUUUAAAAGACUUUUUUUAUCAUGAAAAAGUCUUGUGAUAUUCAAUCAAGACUCUUUCCAAUUUAAAUAAAGUCUUGUGUUAUUCAAUCAAGAUUCUUUGUCAUUUAAAAAAAGUCUUGUGGUAUUCAAUCUAGAUUCUUAAUCACUUAAAAAAAAGUCUAGUAGUAUUCAAAAUCAUUCAAAUUUCGAAGGAUUGUUUAAUAAAUCAGAUUUUGAUGGAUUUUAUAGGAUUUUCUAGUGAAAUUUUAGCAUGAAAAAAUCUUUCAUAAAAACAUGAGAUUUUUUAGGAUUGUUUUUUUUUCUUAUUUUACUAUCUCUCCCUAUAUCUCCUCCCUUCUCUCUUACUUUCUAUUUUCCUCUCCUCUCUCUCUCUCUCCCCUUCCUUCCUUCUCUCUCUCUCUAGCUCUCACGUAAAAAACCUCUCUCUAACUCUCCCGUAAAAAACAUCUCUCUCUCUCUGAUUCCUUCACCAUCUCUCUCUAGCUCUCCGUAAAAAAUAAAAUAAAAUAAAUAAAAGAGUUUUUAUUGAGAUUUUGUAGCUCUAGCUCUUCCGUAAAAAAUAAAAUAAAAUAAAUAAAAUAGUCUUUAUUGAGAUUUUGUGAAAGAGAGUGUGUUAUGAUAUUUUUUUCAAUUAUUUCUUAAAAUUCAUAAAAUCUUUUGAAAUCUCUUGAAAUCCAUAAAAUCAUUUCAAAUCCUUUAAAAUCUUAUGAAUUAAAUCCAUUGAAAUCCUUAAUAAUCUUUUAAAAUCAUCAAAGUCAUCAAAAUCUUGCAAAGCCUUUUAAAAUCCUCAACACUUUUUUAAACAAAAAUUAUCGAGUGAACCAUCAAAUUCGUCCCUGAAUUUUCACGCGUCGGCCAAAUUAGUCCCUCAAUUAUGCGAAAUUUCAAUUUCAUCCCUGAAUUUGUCAGACGUCCAUCAAAAAGGUCCCUCCGUUAACGGGCUCCGUUAGCCAUGCUGACAUGUCGCCUUGCAUGCUGUGUUGUCUUGUACGCGUGGCAAGAAGGAAGCCACGUGUUCAGGGACGAAUUUGAUUGAUUUGGAAAAAGUUCACUUUUCAUUUUUCAAUUUAAUUUUUUCGUGCUUUUCCCAUUUUGCCCCUGCAUUACAUAUUUCUUCUUCUUCACAUUUUACUCAGAAACAUCAAAAACAUCCUUGACUCUUCUCCUUCCCGCUAAAACGUUCUCCAUUUUCACCCCUCCAAAAUCAUCAUCAUCUCCAUCGAUUCUGGCGUGUUUGAAGUUCCUGUGUUCGACCGUGAUCAAAGGUAACACCUUUCCUUGUGUUUAUCAAGAUUCUGUGUUUUUUUUGGCACCGUUUUUGUUCAUUUUUUGGUUUUUUGGUUUUAAGUUUUUAUCAUUUCGUUUUGGCGUUUUAAGAUUAUGUGAUCAUUUCGUUAUCGUUUUGUCCUUUUGUUGCGUGUUUGAGACAGUUGGUUUGGUUUGAUUAUUCGUUUUUAGGGUUUUGGGUUAAGUUGUAAAAAUUUGAAAAUUUGAUUUUUUUCCUGGUUGUUUACUAAAUUUGAUGAACAUUUAACUUUGUAAUGAAGGAAAUUACACGUUUGUUUUUGAGUUUUGCAUUUUAGUUUUGUAUUUUUUUGUUGUUUUGUUUGUGAUUAAAAUCAAGGUUGCCGAAAUGUGUAGGAUGGAAGAGCAUAUAACACUAAUACUGCAUCAUGGUGGUGAUUUAGUGCGAAAUGAGAAUCGGAGGCUGCAAUAUGUUGGCGGUGAAUUCUGUGUAUGGGAAAAGAUAUAUGUUGAUGAGUUGUGUUUNAACAAGUGAAUAAGGCUAAUAGUAUAUUCAACACUAUGGCUCAGGGGGGAGUGAAUCCUGAUACUCAGAGUUACAAUAUCAUGAUUAACGGGUUUUGUAAGAUUAAAAAGGUUGAUGAAGCCAUGAAUCUCUUUAAAAAAAUGCAUUGCAAAAACAUUAUUCCUAAUGUGGUGACUUACACUUCUCUUAUUGAUGGUUUGUGUAAAUCGGGGAAAAUCUCUUAUGCUUUGAAGCUAGUCGAUGAGAUGCAUGAUAGAGGUGUACCACCUGAUAUAAUUACUUACAGUUCUAUAUUGGAUGCUUUAUGCAAAAACCAUCAGGUUGACAAGGCAAUUGCAUUAUUAACAAAAUUG